RNAcentral lists this ribosomal RNA (497 nucleotides) under uncultured bacterium. Its description in RNAcentral is "partial 16S ribosomal RNA". It matches the Rfam family "Bacterial small subunit ribosomal RNA", at positions 28 to 507 of the family's 1533-position model. The record is from RNAcentral.
GACGAACGCUGGCGGCGUGCCUAAUACAUGCAAGUUGAGCGCUGAAGGUUGGUACUUGUACCAACUGGAUGAGCAGCGAACGGGUGAGUAACGCGUGGGGAAUCUGCCUUUGAGCGGGGGACAACUUUUGGAAACGAAUGCUAAUACCGCAUAAAAACUUUAAACACAAGUUUUAAGUUUGAAAGAUGCAAUUGCAUCACUCAAAGAUGAUCCCGCGUUGUAUUAGCUAGUUGGUGAGGUAAAGGCUCACCAAGGCGAUGAUACAUAGCCGACCUGAGAGGGUGAUCGGCCACAUUGGGACUGAGACACGGCCCAAACGCCUACGGGAGGCAGCAGUAGGGAAUCUUCGGCAAUGGACGAAAGUCUGACCGAGCAACGCCGCGUGAGUGAAGAAGGUUUUCGGAUCGUAAAACUCUGUUGGUAGAGAAGAACGUUGGUGAGAGUGGAAAGCUCAUCAAGUGACGGUAACUAACCAGAAAGGGACGGCUAACUACGUG